GACGAACCGUGCGAACGUUGUUCGGAAUCACUGGGCUUAAAGGGCGCGUAGGCGGGCGGGCAAGUCGGAGGUGAAAUCCCGCAGCUCAACUGCGGAAGGGCCCCCGAUACUGUUCGCCUCGAGGGAGGUAGGGGCGCGUGGAACUUCCGGUGGAGCGGUGAAAUGCGUAGAUAUCGGAAGGAACGCCGGUGGCGAAAGCGACGCGCUGGACCUCUUCUGACGCUGAGGCGCGAAAGCCAGGGGAGCAAACGGG
This 253-nucleotide ribosomal RNA is filed under the name uncultured bacterium. RNAcentral's name for it is "partial 16S ribosomal RNA". It matches the Rfam family "Bacterial small subunit ribosomal RNA", at positions 524 to 776 of the family's 1533-position model. The record is from RNAcentral.